GUGUCAGCAGCCGCGGUAAUACGUAGGGGGCAAGCGUUGUUCGGAAUUACUGGGCGUAAAGGGCGCGUAGGCGGUACGACAAGUCGGGAGUGAAAGCCCGGGGCUCAACCCCGGGACUGCUUUCGAAACUGUCGAACUCGAGUGCAGAAGAGGCAACUGGAAUUCCCAGUGUAGCGGUGAAAUGCGUAGAUAUUGGGAAGAACACCUGAGGCGAAGGCGGGUUGCUGGGCUGACACUGACGCUGAGGCGCGAAAGCCAGGGGAGCGAACGGGAUUAGAUACCCUCGUAGUCC
This 292-nucleotide ribosomal RNA is filed under the name uncultured bacterium. Its description in RNAcentral is "partial 16S ribosomal RNA". It matches the Rfam family "Bacterial small subunit ribosomal RNA", at positions 505 to 796 of the family's 1533-position model. The record is from RNAcentral.